This 205-nucleotide ribosomal RNA is filed under the name uncultured eukaryote. Its description in RNAcentral is "partial 18S ribosomal RNA". It matches the Rfam family "Eukaryotic small subunit ribosomal RNA", at positions 1299 to 1458 of the family's 1831-position model. The record is from RNAcentral.
UGGUGGAGUGAUUUGUCUGGUUAAUUCCGUUAACGAACGAGACCUUAACCUGCUAAAUAGUAACCGAAAGACUUCUAAAAAAACACGUUGGUGGCUAGGGUGAAGUUUCGAUGGAGCCUGACCCAUUAGCGUGUGGAUGACUUCCGGGAAUACUUCUUAGAGGGACUAUUUGUAUUAAAGCAAAUGGAAGUUUGAGGCAAUAACA